AACCAGCCAUUGUGAGUCCAGGAGCCAAACUUCAGGUCACACUUCUGCACAUCGAAUGGGAACCACCGUACAUCGAUGUAGCAGGUCUGAAAACGAAUAAUGCAAUCCUCCAGAGCCAAAGGAAUAUCAAGACGGAAACAGCAAAUUUUUGCGCAAGUCUUCCCCUCCUACUUGACCUAGGGAGGACCUAGUGUUCCGUAGUGGCAAUUCUUUAAUAGCCUUUCAGCAAAAUGAGCAAGAAUAAGACCUGUUUUGCUCUUGUAUGCCAGACAAAGUCAUGUAGAUGUACCACAUAGAGGCACAUUUCUUGUUUUGUUUUUUUCUUUAUGCCACAGCUGUUUAGCAAGAAUGUAAAUGUUCUGGAUGUUAUUU
Thunnus maccoyii (southern bluefin tuna) is the source of this 372-nucleotide long non-coding RNA. RefSeq lists it as uncharacterized. The record is from RefSeq and is a predicted model, not a curated record. NCBI's taxonomy places the organism in Eukaryota, Metazoa, Chordata, Actinopteri, Scombriformes, Scombridae. The transcript has 3 exons.